This 450-nucleotide ribosomal RNA is filed under the name uncultured bacterium. RNAcentral describes it as "partial 16S ribosomal RNA". It matches the Rfam family "Bacterial small subunit ribosomal RNA", at positions 354 to 796 of the family's 1533-position model. The record is from RNAcentral.
GUGGGGAAUAUUCCGCAAUGGACGAAAGUCUGACGGAGCAACGCCGCGUGAGUGAAGACGGCCUUCGGGUUGUAAAGCUCUGUUAUAUGGGACGAACGGGUGUAUGGUCAAUACCCAUACGCCGUGACGGUACCGUAAGAGAAAGCCACGGCUAACUACGUGCCAGCAGCCGCGGUAAUACGUAGGUGGCAAGCGUUGUCCGGAAUCAUUGGGCGUAAAGGGCGCGCAGGCGGUUCGGUAAGUCGGUCUUAAAAGUGCGGGGCUUAACCCCGUGAUGGGAUUGAAACUGCCGGACUGGAGUGUCGGAGAGGAAAGCAGAAUUCCUAGUGUAGCGGUGAAAUGCGUAGAUAUUAGGAGGAAUACCAGUGGCGAAAGCGGCUUUCUGGACGACAACUGACGCUGAGGCGCGAAAGCCAGGGGAGCAAACGGGAUUAGAAACCCUGGUAGUCC